RNAcentral lists this ribosomal RNA (743 nucleotides) under Bacillus amyloliquefaciens. RNAcentral's name for it is "bacterial SSU rRNA". It matches the Rfam family "Bacterial small subunit ribosomal RNA", at positions 75 to 802 of the family's 1533-position model. Lineage: Bacteria; Bacillati; Bacillota; Bacilli; Caryophanales; Bacillaceae. The record is from RNAcentral.
GGAGCUUGCUCCCUGAUGUUAGCGGCGGACGGGUGAGUAACACGUGGGUAACCUGCCUGUAAGACUGGGAUAACUCCGGGAAACCGGGGCUAAUACCGGAUGGUUGUUUGAACCGCAUGGUUCAGACAUAAAAGGUGGCUUCGGCUACCACUUACAGAUGGACCCGCGGCGCAUUAGCUAGUUGGUGAGGUAACGGCUCACCAAGGCAACGAUGCGUAGCCGACCUGAGAGGGUGAUCGGCCACACUGGGACUGAGACACGGCCCAGACUCCUACGGGAGGCAGCAGUAGGGAAUCUUCCGCAAUGGACGAAAGUCUGACGGAGCAACGCCGCGUGAGUGAUGAAGGUUUUCGGAUCGUAAAGCUCUGUUGUUAGGGAAGAACAAGUGCCGUUCAAAUAGGGCGGCACCUUGACGGUACCUAACCAGAAAGCCACGGCUAACUACGUGCCAGCAGCCGCGGUAAUACGUAGGUGGCAAGCGUUGUCCGGAAUUAUUGGGCGUAAAGGGCUCGCAGGCGGUUUCUUAAGUCUGAUGUGAAAGCCCCCGGCUCAACCGGGGAGGGUCAUUGGAAACUGGGGAACUUGAGUGCAGAAGAGGAGAGUGGAAUUCCACGUGUAGCGGUGAAAUGCGUAGAGAUGUGGAGGAACACCAGUGGCGAAGGCGACUCUCUGGUCUGUAACUGACGCUGAGGAGCGAAAGCGUGGGGAGCGAACAGGAUUAGAUACCCUGGUAGUCCACGCCG